GGGCAUUAAGUUGCUUCAGGUAACUUCUGUUCUGUAUGUUACUAUAGGCAGCGGUGUCCAAACGUUUUUCAAAGAGGGCCAGAUUUGAUGAAAUUAAGGGCUGUGAGGGCCGACCAAAGUUGUUGACCUUUUGUUAGGAUUGAAGUUGUUGACCUUUUUUAAUGUUAUUACCCCAAAGUUGUUGAGGAUUGAAGAUAUUGAGCUUUUUUUAGGGUUGAACUUUUUAAGUUUUUACCCCAGGAAAUAGGAAAUGAACUGCCACAGGGGCCAGAUUAGACCAAACGGACUUUGGACAUGCCUGCUAUAGAGGAUAGUAUUGACUAGAAUUCCUUGGAGACUUUGGUUGUCCUAAAAAUAUCCUAGACUGCAUAAUAUCCAUUUAGCUAUCCUUAUCCAUUUAAUAUCCAUUGAAAUGUCCUUCUUUAUAUUUUUUUGCUGUUUGUCAUAAUCUUUACACUCUGUGUUGUGUGCAACAUAGCACUAGGUCACUUGUUUUGUCAGUGUGAGGAUUUCUCCUUGCACAAGGGAAUGUUCUCCACCUUUCCUCCUUCCAAACUAGAGGAGAAGCGGAUCUGGGGGCAGUGUAGUGCACGUGGAGGGAGGAGGAGGAGGAGGAGGAGGAGAGUUAAAGUGCCGUUGUGCUGGCAGCAAUCCUUGCCAUAGUGCUUUUAUUUGGUCAAAUACAGCCUGAUCUUUUUUCAUGCUGAGUUCAAAAGUGAAGUUUUAAAAGUGUGUAUUCUUGAAACCUUCGAAAUGUUUAUUUAAAAAUGGGGAUUCUGAGGAGGAACACAUUAUUUUACUGUUUUAAGGCCAGAGUAGACAUUGUGAAAAUGGCAUGGGAUGUUCUGUGAAACUUUGUUGCCGAAAAUUUAGCUUUGAUAUUAGGACACUGGCAAGUUGUUCUAAUCAUUGCAGUGGGAGAGGGGGAAACUAGAUGUGCAACUCUCAUUCUUUGGCUGCAGGCCUGUGCUUAUCACAAUGUCGAGUUCGGCCUUGAGGAUGGGUAUAAAGACAGUCUUGUUCAACAGCUGUAUUGUUAGAAAAGGGAUUUGAACUAGCAUAGUUAACAGAGAUAUAUAUAAAAUCAGAGGUGUACUUGUCUUUUUAAACCUCUGAAAGCUAUAUGUAUAGAGAGCUUUCAGAGAUUUAAAAGACAAGUACACUUCUGAUGAUACAGUACAUAGUUUUUUGUGUAUGCUUUGGGAUUUAAUUUUGGGAUGCUUAUCUCUGAAGGGCCCUUGUAGUGAACCAGCUGCCUAACUUGUAGCUUAUUUAAUAGAUACGUUUCUUCAGAACAAUGCUUUUAAUUUAUUACCACAGGAAGACUUGGGAGGAUGUAGGUUCCUGCAUAGGAUCUGUAUUGUGCACAUGCAACAGAAUGAGGAAGUAAAGGAAGGAAAGUUAAGGCCAAGAGACCCUGGUAUCCUUUGCACCUAAGAGAUGUAGUAAACAUGCAGUUUCAACCUUUCUUCUUUGUGUUGUAAAGCUUUGAUGAGCGCAAAGGAAGUUUACAUGUCCAAAAGUGAAAUGGAUCAGAACUAGAAAUAAUUAAGGAAUGGCUUUCUCUUCCUGGGCACAAGCAGUGCUACCAGGCCCAGAACAGAUGCCUUGUAACUUAGAAAAUUUGUUUGGAAAUGGUUUUCAUGGUUAUAUAUAUAUAUUUUAAAUAAAAUAUUACGCUGUUUAAUAUGAUAAUUUUUAAGCUGUUUAUAUCAGAGACAAUAAAAAGAAAUGUCAGUAUCAAUUCAUAUAAAAGUACCAACAAGAACUUUCAAAUUUCAUAAUUAAGUAAAAACAAAACUAUGGGUUGAAUCUAAUAAAGUCAUUGUGCAAGUGGAAUAACUUCCACCAAUGCUGUGGAUCUCCAAAACAUAUCUGAGGGUGGGGGAGAAGGGGGAACUGAAGUUCUGUUGUGGGAGCGGACACCAUUCUGCUCAAGUAAUGUGUUUGUUGGGUACAACCCUAUAUAUCACAGACAAAGCUGAGUGGUAUACAAAGAAUGAAACAUUAAGAAUCCAAAUCUAGAAAUGCUUGCGUAAACAUAUGUUUUCAAGAGGCAUUUAAAGGUCAUGACUGUCUUCUACUGUCUCACAUACUUGCCAAGUGACAGUCCUCUCUCUGGUCAUGGAACAACCAGACCUUGAACUUGGCUUGAUAGUAAUGGGUGUAUGGGAUGGCCUCAAAGACAGAUUUGCCAGGAAUGUGUGUUAAUAUUAUAGACCUUGAACUCUUUGCAUAUUUUUAGGUUCUCUAUAUUAUUUUCCCCACCUUGCUUGCUUUAAAGGCUUAGGAACCAUUUCUGGUUUUCUGCAUGCAUAGGUUCAGGUAUCGUGAGUGUUUAAUUGCUGCCUUCCCCCCUUCUUUGCCUUGUAAAAUAUUAGAACUGUGAAUAUAGUAAAAGAAGAGAGCAAAGCAUAAAAAAUUAUACUGGUGGAAAGGAGCUAUAUUAGUGUUGAUUUUUUAAUUCAGAAAGUUAAUAAAGAAUGCAUGUGUUUCUCCCAACCAAUUUUUUGAUUAUUUGAUAUUCUUCUCCAGUACACCAGUUUAGUAAUUUGGGUGAUUUCCCACAUCUUUAGUAACUAUUCUUGUAAGGUUAGGACUCUUUUACUUUAUGAAGCUGAGCAACGCAUACCUUUGCUCUGGGGUUGGGAAGUGGGCUCUCUAUUCUUGAUCCACUGAACACUAUUUUAAAGUUCCAGAAAGUGUAAUUCAGAAUUUAAAUAAUGUUGCUUCGGGACUUAAGACUCUUUGUAUUAGGAUGCUGAGAUUCACCUGAUCUAAUGGGGAGGUCUGCCAUCUAGUGGAAUUGAAGUGGCGCUUACAAACACAUGGGGAAAAUAGGCCCAGAAUUAUGAAUGAAAACCUAGCUGCAUUUCUUGAGUCUAAACUUCUUUGUUUUGUAAAAUGCUUUUUUUGUAAUAGCACAAAUGCAGUUGCACAAGGCAAAGUAAUGUUACGUUAUUUUGUACCUUGGCUUGGAGGAAUUACCGUAUGUUGAAUCAGCGUGGUUGCCCCCUAAUGAUAAAGUGGUAUCUGAGCCAAAAUCCUGAGGCUAUAUGCAUAGAGCACCCUUCACCAACCUUUGAUAUCUUCCAGAUGUGGCAGGCAUAUGGUUGGCAAAAGCCAGGAUAGAGAAAUGGGAGGGGGGAACUGGUUUAUAGUGGGAGGAGAUAAAGGGCAAGUCAGGUUGCAUCCUGGCAUGAUGUUGGUUCUCAUUCAAGUGAAGAAAAAAAAUGCUAUAAAACAUUAUGAAAUGACCCAGGGUGUGUGUGUGGGGGGGAGUCUUACACAUUUCUGUACCCCAUUUUGGACAGUUAUAAUCUCAAGAGUUGAAGAAGAACACAAGAGCUAGAUUCUGGCUUGAAGGCUAAGAAAUGUACCGUAUUUGUUUGUUUUAUCUUAUUGCCCCAUUGAUCUGUGAAGCUGUUGCCACAACUGGCAGGCUUGGUCUAGCUUACUUUCUGGCUUUCUAAACUGAUCACAACUUGGUAUUUCAGAGUAGGGGGGGGGUAUUGUUGUUUGGUAUACAGUUCCCUUUCUCUGCAAUCAUGAUUUCCCUACAUUGCAGUGUUGCCCCCACUACUUCAGAUUUCACAUAUUAUAUAUACACAUGACACAUAAGCAAAAUAAAGUUAAAGGGAUGCUCUCGGGGACACCACUGGAGUUGUGGGGCAAAACUAUUUCUGACCCUUGUUGGCUCUAACCCGUUUACAAUCAAGACUGUAAUGUUCCAUCUUGGAUUAUUUUUCAGCAUAUUUGAAGGCAAUGGAAUGUUGGAACUGGGGGGGGAAUGGAUAGACACACAGAUACUGGUAGCAAAAAUCAAGAAAGAAGAGGCUUUCUUAAAAGUUUCUAUAUUAUGAGUACUGACACAUUUCAAAACAGGACAAUCUCUUAAACUGAACCAGUAUCGAUAAAUCUAAAUUUCAUAUUUGGACUAUAAAAUUCUUUCCAUAUUGUCUGUUCAGCUAUCUGUUUUCAGAUUAAUUGCUGCAGAAACCUAUUGGUCAUCCAGUCAGGAAACCAGCAAUUCCGGACCAUGUAAGAAUUUCUGAAUAAAGGAGACAAAAUAUCAGGGCUUUUCACUAUUGGCUCAUUUCCAGUUUUGUUCUGCUCCAUCAGCUAGGUGGCAAGUUUUGUAGAGCUGUUAAUUUUGCUCCUGUUGUAAACGUGAUGUUUCAGAAAUACUCCCUAUGUAUAUUUGUUUGCACAUGUGUUUUAUAUAUUUAUGUAAGUGUUUGUGGUUUGUGUAAUAUUUACUUUGUGUGGCUAAGAAUAUUUGAUGCCUGGCCUGUUUCCAAAGGUGUGUGAAGUGGAAAAUUCUGUUCUGUUAAUUUUGGACAGGUAAAUUGUAAUCACUUAUAGAUAAUUUCAGUGUUAGAUACUCAUGCUAUUGUUCCCAUUUACCCUUUCUAUGUCUCUUUGAGUUGUACAUCUUGAAGACUAUACAUUGAAAAGAAAAACAAUGGAGGUUAAAAUAUAAUUGUGGUGUAUGUAUUAUUACCACAAAUUAUAACUAACAAAGAUAAAUUGGUUCGGUAUGGUAACGUAGUUCUUGGUGUGCAGUAUUGCCCAUUGAAGAUGAUGGUGGAAAAAAACAAAUGAUUUUUAGUGUAGUUGAACUUUACACUUAGGCUGGAAAUGCAUAUUAUGGGGUAAACAUGGGUCCCAAAGUUAGUACAUGGGAAGGGGGGACCUUUGCAGAGGAGCUGUGAAGGCUAUACUUAGGCAUUGUCAUUCACUCAUUUCCCCAAAUCUUCUGCCCUUGUUAUUUUGUGAAACAAGAAUUAGACAUAGCCUGAAAAUUUGUAGAGUCAUCCAAUAUAUUGCUUACUAAAGACUAUAGGAUCAAUCAGGUUUUAUCAACGUAGCCAGACAGAAAUUGAGCAUAGAUAUUUUUUUUUGUUAACUGAAGUUUAAUGAAAUGUGAAGUAUACCUAAUCAAUUGGGAUUGUUUCUUUUAAUAAGCACUUAGUUCUGCCCCACUGCUGCUGCCAUGUUAGUUUGACUUUAUGUGGAAGUUCUCAAAUCUUCAAACUUCAUGGAACUUUUCCCAUAUUGAUUUGUGUAAUGUAGAAUUUGUGUUUAGAACACAUGUUCAGUUCACGUAAUGUUGGCCAGUGGGGAAAGGUAGCUUUCAGGAAAAACUACCAAAAUGAUCUAAUUCUAAACUGUCAUUGAACCUGGAAUUAAUCCUUGGAUUAUUAUUAUUUUUUAAAAACCAAAUUUUGUUAAGACUUUACCUAAUACAUUACACACACAAAACAAACUUAUCU
Non-coding RNA from Podarcis lilfordi (Lilford's wall lizard), 5276 nucleotides. NCBI's taxonomy places the organism in Eukaryota, Metazoa, Chordata, Lepidosauria, Squamata, Lacertidae. The record is from the annotation of a GenBank genome assembly.